UGGGAGUGUCAUAUAUCAAUCUGUUGAUUUCAUUGGUUAAGUUAUAAUAAACCAACUGCUUGGCCUCAGCUUGGAACAUAGAUGGGAGGAGUAAACAGAAUAGAAUUCUGGGCGGAAGAGGAAGUGAGGUCAGACUCUGCUCUGCUCCCAGAGAGACCCGACAGCUCUGCUGGAGCAGAGACGCCAUGCUCAGCUCUCCCAGGCAACUCCAACCCACGAUGGACUUAGGCUAGAAUCUUCCCGGACUUCUCAUGACAAUGAGACACUCUGCUCCUGGCAUCACCAAUCUACUUCAAGAGGAAGAUGGGCAUCGAAGAGGAUCCUUAUGGAGUUUGAUAGCCAUUUGGCAAGAAACUGCUCUUGCCUGGACUAUUGCAUAAACUGGACACAGAGAACCCGCAGAGAGAGGACUGCUGAACUUGCCUAAAGGUGAGAUGAUCUUUCGGGGUUCCUGCUUCAUGAAAGAGUCUGCAAGACAUUCUUCAGGACAAGCAGAUAGUGACUGCCUUUGAAAUUUCCUGCAUUGUGGAAAUGUCUGCUGGAAACUAUGGGCCUGUAGGCCGAAGAUGGAUGCCCCAACGGUACAGAGGAACUUUGGGUGACUGUCCAGGCAGCGAGAUGUCUCUGUCAUUUCUAGAGCUUUGGAUGUUAAGUUAAAGCCUUCUUUUUUUUUUUUUUUUUUUUAAACAGAAAAAGGGGAAGUGAUGUGGGAGUGUCAUAUAUCAAUCUGUUGAUUUCAUUGGUUAAGUUAUAAUAAACCAACUGCUUGGCCUCAGCUUGGAACAUAGAUGGGAGGAGUAAACAGAAUAGAAUUCUGGGCGGAAGAGGAAGUGAGGUCAGACUCUGCUCUGCUCCCAGAGAGACCCGACAGCUCUGCUGGAGCAGAGACGCCAUGCUCAGCUCUCCCAGGCAACUCCAACCCACGAUGGACUUAGGCUAGAAUCUUCCCGGUAAGCGCACCUUGGCGUGCUUACACAGAUGAUUAGAAAUGGGCUAAAUUAAUAUGUGAGAAUUAGCCUAGAAGAGGCUAGAUAGAAAUGGGCUAGUCCAGGUGCAAGAAUUAGUUAGAGUUCAUGGGCCAAGCAGUUCUUUAAAUGAA
This is a long non-coding RNA of Alexandromys fortis (reed vole), 1099 nucleotides long. RefSeq lists it as uncharacterized. The transcript has 2 exons. The record is from RefSeq and is a predicted model, not a curated record. Lineage: Eukaryota; Metazoa; Chordata; Mammalia; Rodentia; Cricetidae.